UUCAUCAAAGUACCAGCUGUUGACCCUUUCAUCUUAAGAGAGAUAUGUGAAUUACCUCACAGACUGGGCCUUUAGCAUAAUUAAUCAGAGAAACAACUUACACCUCAUUAUCUGAUAAAUAUGCCAUUGAAUGGACUAGUAUAAAGCCACAAAUCUUUAAAAUAAAUUAUGCUCAAAGUCACAAUCUUAUUUCAUUUCACAUUUUUGGUUUGGGGGUCUUCUUAUACAGAAACAUGAAGGAUUUUAUUGUAGUCUUAAUGUUCUACUUGGGGAGAUUCAGCUCAUCACUUGAAAGGGCCUUAACUGCUGUUUAGAUGACAUAUCUAAUGAAACUUCAUAGGAAUGUGUAGUAUGGCUUUAGAAGUUUCUGUGCCGAGUUUUAGGAAAAUCAAAGAAGGUUGGCCAUGGGACAAGUGCAUGGGCCUCAAAUUCAUGACCUCCUGGUAACAAAGUGAAAACUGUUAGCACUGAGCAACUGCAAUCAACCUGUGACACCACUCCACCUUGCUUCUUGUAUCAUUACAUAACUAAAUAAUUCCAAGCUUUAUGAUCGUUGAUUCCAUAAAUUUAGAAAAAUAAAAUGUUAUACAUGUAUUGACUUACAGAUGGCUUUAAGGUGAAUAUAACAUUUGAAUUUUCCAGCAUUGUUCUCAAUCUAAUGAAAAUUAGAUCCUAUGAUCUGCUCAUCUGCUCUCGCUAUAUAGGUAUAGUGAUAGUAGAGGAGUGGAUCAUUAGGAUCAAAUUUUAAUUCUAAUUAGAUUGGCAUUGUUCUGAAAAUAAA
This is a long non-coding RNA of Ostrea edulis (European flat oyster), 781 nucleotides long. RefSeq lists it as uncharacterized. The transcript is spliced from 3 exons. The record is from RefSeq and is a predicted model, not a curated record. Lineage: Eukaryota; Metazoa; Mollusca; Bivalvia; Ostreida; Ostreidae.